AUUUUUUAUCAUAUUCAGUCCAAGAAACAAGGGAAUAGCACUUGUCCAUGUCCUUGAAUUCAUGACUGAAAUCUGGUCCGUCAUGAUGCUUUAAUGAUGUGUGAAUGUAUUGAGACAUAGGGAAUGACUCUAAUUCAUGCUGAAUUAUUAAGCCUCUUGCCUUGACAAAAUGAUUUGUGUCAUGAUUUACUGAGUUGGCUGAGAUGGCCAAGCUUCUAACCGAUGCUGCAACCUCAUGCUUCCAUAGCUUGUCCACCAAAGAGUCUAACUUGGAGUCUACAACAAUUAAGCCAUCAUGCACCAUCCUGCAAGGAAUCAAUUCGUGAGAAUGAAUCAAGUUUAACAGUUACAAAAAAAGGAAAAUGUAAAAGCUAAAAGGUUUCUUUACGCCAAAAGUGAUAGAGGAGAGAUGAAUAUGGAGGCUGGGGAAAAUUAGUAGAAGAAGAUGAUAAAAGCUAAUGUAUGAGACAGAGUGUUACAACUUUGUGAAUUAACUCAAAGAUGAGAUAUAAUUUUUUAAAUGAGAUGGAAGAAUAUGAUAGGUGGGUAUAAGAAAUAGACAUCCUUUUAAUCUCUAUCCUAAAAGACAAGUGGAAUAUUACCCAGAAUUGCAGCAAGCAUACACACACAGUGUAUGUAACCUUGAGACAGAAAACAGAAAGUAUAUUGCAGAAAAAGAAAAUAAGAUGUGAGUAAAGAAUAAGGCAGUGAAACCAGAAAGUGAAUGAAUACUUCAGUGUAUGAUAGUAUAUGGAAAGUCUAAAAAGUGAGUUACAAAUACAUUGAAAUCCCCUAGUAUUUAUAUCAUUGAUUCAACUAACUUCUUAAUAAAAAUAGCAUAUCUAACUUAACUAACAAAACUGUCUGAUAAUCCAUUAACCAUACUGAUAUUUGAUCAUCGAGUCUAGCAGGGAGAAUUACAAUUUACUCAACUCCCUUAAUUCAAACUAGCCAGACUAAUAACUUCUAGCGUAUGCCACUACAAAAAAAUUAUCCUGUUAGCUAUGGUUAAAACCGUGGCUAUUUUACCAAAAAAUUGUGGCAAAAUACACCGGCCACAGUUUCCUCGACCCUAGCAAUCACUGGCGUUGCAAAAUUUUUAGCCACGAUCAGUGUACGAUAUAGCUACAUCUACAAGAAGUGUGGUAACAUUUCUUUAAUCACGGUUCAGCCGUUGCUAACGUGAACCACAUACCUCUCUUUAACUAUGCCUCAAAACUAACACUUCCAGUUAGCUUUAACAAUUUAGAACCAACACCAACAUGUAAAUAACAAUAUUUCAAAUCUUUCUAUGUGCCACAAUCAAGAAGACAAGAAACACUAAAUAUAAAGGAACUUAGAAAGAUCUUCAGUGUAACACUAGAACUCAAAAAACAACCACAUUGAGAUUAAUUUUAAAACAAUAAUGAUUACCUCAAUAUACUUCCAUUGUUGACAUAUAUU
Molecule: long non-coding RNA, 1443 nt
Filed under: Lupinus angustifolius (narrow-leaved blue lupine)
Lineage: Eukaryota; Viridiplantae; Streptophyta; Magnoliopsida; Fabales; Fabaceae
Description: long non-coding RNA (LANG_LNC002920)
Source: RNAcentral